CCCUUAGAUGUUCUGGGCCGCACGCGAGCUACACUGAGUGGAUCAGCGGGUCAGGUUGCGCGAAAGCGUUUCCUAAUCUUUAAAUCCGCUCGUGAUGGGGAUUGACGGUUGCAAUUUUCUGUCAUGAACGAGGAAUACCUUGUAAGCGCGGGUCAUCAUCCCGCGCUGAAUACGUCCCUGCCCUUUGUACACACCGCCCGUCGCUCCUACCGAUUGAGUGGUCCGGUGAGGCUUUGGGAUCUGAGCGGAAAGAGCGUUUCGCUGUUUCUGCUCGGAAAACUCAGUCGAACCUUAUCAUUUAGAGGAAGGAGAAGUCGUAACA
This 322-nucleotide ribosomal RNA is filed under the name uncultured eukaryote. RNAcentral's name for it is "partial 18S ribosomal RNA". It matches the Rfam family "Eukaryotic small subunit ribosomal RNA", at positions 1470 to 1796 of the family's 1831-position model. The record is from RNAcentral.